CUACGGGAUGCUGCAGUGGGGAAUAUUGCACAAUGGAGGAAACUCUGAUGCAGCAACGCCGCGUGGAGGAUGACACUUUUCGGAGCGUAAACUCCUUUUAUAUAGGAAGAAGAUGACGGUACUAUAUGAAUAAGCGCCGGCUAACUCCGUGCCAGCAGCCGCGGUAAUACGGAGGGCGCAAGCGUUACUCGGAAUCACUGGGCGUAAAGAGCGUGUAGGCGGAUUAAAAAGUCAGAAGUGAAAUCCUAUAGCUUAACUAUAGAACUGCUUCUGAAACUCUUAAUCUAGAAUAUGGGAGAGGCAGAUGGAAUUUCUGGUGUAGGGGUAAAAUCCGUAGAGAUCAGAAGGAAUACCGAUUGCGAAGGCGAUCUACUAGAACAUUAUUGACGCUGAGACGCGAAAGCGUGGGGAGCAAACAGGAUUAGAUACCCUGGUAGUC
Molecule: ribosomal RNA, 439 nt
Filed under: uncultured bacterium
Lineage: Bacteria
Description: partial 16S ribosomal RNA
Rfam family: Bacterial small subunit ribosomal RNA
Source: RNAcentral